UACGUAGGGUGCAAGCGUUGUCCGGAAUUAUUGGGCGUAAAGAGCUCGUAGGCGGUCUGUCGCGUCGGCUGUGAAAUCCCGAGGCUCAACCUCGGGUCUGCAGUCGAUACGGGCAAACUAGAGUAUUGCAGGGGAGACGGGAAUUCCUGGUGUAGCGGUGAAAUGCGCAGAUAUCAGGAGGAACACCGGUGGCGAAGGCGGGUCUCUGGGCAACAACUGACGCUGAGGAGCGAAAGCGUGGGGAGCGAACAGG
This 253-nucleotide ribosomal RNA is filed under the name uncultured bacterium. RNAcentral describes it as "partial 16S ribosomal RNA". It matches the Rfam family "Bacterial small subunit ribosomal RNA", at positions 524 to 776 of the family's 1533-position model. The record is from RNAcentral.